Molecule: non-coding RNA, 1652 nt
Organism: Cricetulus griseus (Chinese hamster)
Lineage: Eukaryota; Metazoa; Chordata; Mammalia; Rodentia; Cricetidae
Source: RefSeq, a predicted model, not a curated record
GUGAGCUGCCAUGUGGGUGCUGGGAACUGAACCUGGGUCCUUUGGAAGAGCAACCAGUGCUCUUAACCAGGGAGCCAUCUCUCCAGCCCCUCAAGAUACUUUUUAAAAACAAGACACUUCAAAUACAUCGAUGGAGACAUCAAAGGGCAGCACUGUUGAAGGGCAGAGACAGGAGGAUCAUUGGGGCUGGCUGGCUGCCACGACGGUGCUGGAAACGGAGCCCAGGUCUUCCAGAAGAGCAGCCAGCGUUCUUAAACACUGAACUAUCUUGUCUUCAUGAAGUUCUUUCCUUUUUCUUUUGAGACAAGGUCUCACCAUGAAGCUCCGGAUGGCCUGGAACUCAUUGUGCACAGGCUGGCCUUGACCUCAUAGAGAUCUGCUUCUUAAGUGCUGGGUUUAAAAGUGGGGGCCACCAUUCUCGGCCUCUGGUGUUUUUUGUUUUGACAGGAUUCUCUGUGUAGCCCUGGAUGUCCUUGAACUCAGAGAUCUGCCUGCCUAUGCUGGGAGUAAAGAUUCGACCCUAACCACUUGGUGUGAGGAAUGACUUUCCCUGUGUGGCCACCAGGGGGCAGCCUACACCCAGCACAUGACGGGUAGGUUGGGAGCGGCCCCUGCAGGUGGGUUAUUGCUUGUACCGCAGGGCAGAGGCUGCGGGAAGCUCUGCCCUGCUGUAACUUCUACAUCUCACUGGGGACAGGACGAUGACGGGGACUGGGACCGGGGAUGGGGUGUCGGGGAGCAGCCGGUUCCAUCUUAUGAAGGCAGCGACAGAAUUACUCCCAUUCCUGUGAAGCUUGGGCCUCCCAGCAGAUCCGCGGCCACCCUCUCUGAUGAGGUUGGUUCUAGGACCUCAGGAUGAGGGUAUUCCUUGGACAGGGCACAGACUCUCCGCAGAUGAACCGUAAAGGGAAAAGGACAUGCCUGCCCCUUAGAGGCGGGCACAUGGAACCUGUUUUUUACCCAUAACUUCCCAGCCCAGAGCCGGGUCAACCCAUCUUCAGCUGGCUGGAGGAAACCCAAAGUUUCUGGAUUCUAGCUAAGGACUUUUGGGCUCUGCUUUCUCCCCAGUUCCCAUCAGCCAGACCCGGGAGGCAUUUCCUCCUAAGUCUUAGGCCCCACCGUCCUCCUAGUUAAUUCAGAUUAUAUACUGUGAUGGUUUGAGGGAGAAAUGUCAUUCAUAGACUUAUGUAUUUCAACACUUGGUCCCUGGAUAGCGGUUAGUAUUCUUGUUUGGGAUGUACAGAACCUUCAGGAGAGUGAUCUCAACAUGUGGGUCGCGACGGACAACCCUUUCCCAAAAGUUGCCUAAGACCAUUGGUAAACAUAUAUUUACAUUAUGAUUAAUAACAGUAGAAAAAUCACAGUAAUGAACUAGCAAUGAAAAUAUUUUUUUGGUUGGGGGUCAGACACCAUGAGGAACCAUACUAAAGGGUCUCAGCAUUAGGAAGGGUGAGAACCACGGCUUUAGGAGUCGGAUGAGAGUUUGUAGUCUCACCUCUCCUCUAGUUUGCCCUCUUUGCUUUCUGGUUGUGGUUAAAGAUGUGAUCUCUUGGGCUGGAGAGAUGGCUCAGAGGUUAAGAGCACUGACUGCUCUUCCAGAGGUCCUGAAUUCAAUUCCCAGCAGCCACAUGGUGGCUCACAACCAUCUGUUA